AGAAGAUCUUGAGAUUGUUUAUACUACAAACGAAAAUAGGUACCAGGUUAUGUCAAAAGCUUAAAAUGGCCUUUAGGGUCAGGUGAGUUAAAAAAACAAAUUAAAUCAUUGCUCAUGAAGUUGACCAGUGCUAUAUAUCCCAAAAUUUAAACUUUGUGAAAUUAAUUCACUUUUCAGAAGAAAAAAAAACAACAAAAGACGCAAAGA
This 207-nucleotide long non-coding RNA is filed under the name Mytilus galloprovincialis (Mediterranean mussel). Lineage: Eukaryota; Metazoa; Mollusca; Bivalvia; Mytilida; Mytilidae. The record is from RNAcentral.